CAGUCGCCGCGGUAACACGGAGGGGGCUAGCGUUGUUCGGAAUUACUGGGCGUAAAGCGCACGUAGGCGGCUUGGUAAGUUAGAGGUGAAAGCCUGGAGCUCAACUCCAGAAUUGCCUUUAAGACUGCCGAGCUAGCAGGUGAGAGAGGUAAGUGGAAUUCCGAGUGUAGAGGUGAAAUUCGUAGAUAUUCGGAAGAACACCAGUGGCGAAGGCGGCUUACUGGCUCAUACUGGACGCUGAGGUGCGAAAGCGUGGGGAGCAAACAGGAUUAGAUACCCCAGUAGUCCCUGUCUCUUAUAA
Molecule: ribosomal RNA, 301 nt
Filed under: uncultured bacterium
Lineage: Bacteria
Description: partial 16S ribosomal RNA
Rfam family: Bacterial small subunit ribosomal RNA
Source: RNAcentral